GCGGCAGGACGCCUCAAAUGGUGUACUAUUGGUCCGAAAUCAACGUCGUCUCCUCGUCCAAAAUUAGUCGGUGCUGGACGACACAAAUGCACAACAUGUCCUAAAAUGCAUUUAUGUAGUCCUUGUGAAAUAUGCAAAUGCUGUGCGUACACCUUGGUUAAUACUGCAAUAAUUAAUUUAAGUGAACAACAUAGUUUUUAAGAGGUUAUGAAUAGACGUCCACUCACGUCUUUUACACGUCUAGACUAGACUCGUAUAAAAAAAACAUAAUAAUCUUUAUGAAAUACACGAUUUGUAUACAAAGUAAAUAUAUUAACUUUAUCUUGUUUAAAUAAAUUAUAAUCACAAAGUGCCCAGUGUGAUUGCAAAGCCACACUGCAUUUUAGUCAUUAUUUCAACCUGUUUUAUUAUUGAAUGUAUGCAUAUAAAUGUAAAACAGAUACAUAUCCGGUCACCAUUUAGGUCUGAGUUGGAUGUAAUUUCAAAAACUCUGCUUCCAAUAUUAUAUUAAGAAAUAUAUUACAAAAUCCCGCGAUAGGACAGAUUAUCUCGCGAGAUAACGUCACGCGUUCUUCCGGAAGUUCACAUUCAAACAGGAGGAGCGGUUACGAGGGAGUUUUGUCUAUAUAUUAUGCAAAAUCUACUAUUGGGAAAAGCAGAACCUCAUCCAAAUAAAAAUAAACAAGCUGUUAAAGGCACUGUGUCCUACACAGACCCUCCAAAAUAUAACCACCCAAAACCCAAGUCAGUUGAAGAUCAACACAAACCAAAUGAAGAUGUACAUUCUACAAACAAUAAAAAAAGAUCAAGUUUUGUGUCCAACACAUUUGGAUGAGACGUGCCCGACCCCUGACUUUGUCUACCCUACAUUAAGUUGCACACUUCAUGACAGUAAACAUCUGUAUCAAGAUGGUGUGAUUGAUCUAUACCCUAGAAUAAGCUGUGACACUAUGAGACGGUCACAUAAUGAACAGCCAUCUUACAGACAACCGAAAGAGGCAUAGUAUUGUUUUCUUGUGUAUUGUCAUACACCUAAAGAGGAUUUUUUUAAAUCAUACAAUUAUGGUGUUAUUCAUUCAUUAAUGAGUUCUUUCUUAUCUUAAAUAACUUUUCAUUUUUCACUUCUUUUAUUUUUAAUGUCUAUAUAGUAUUCUCUACAAUCCCAAAUUCUGGAUUGACGCCCCAGUACCAGAGGGCACGCCAAUCCCAGAGAGCAUCCAUCUGAAAGCAGGUGAGGUAACACAAGAAAAACUAACAGGAUGGAGACUACCUGAUUCUUCACCUAUGGCCUCAGCUUCAAAUGCAAGAAGUCCAGCAACUGUCUGAGUUGGUGUAUAUUCUGUCAGAGACUGCGUGAACAAUGUUAUGAACAGAAUUAUGUCUAAUUGUCUUAUGGCAAAGUUCAAUAUGAGGGGUGGUGGACAUCUGGAAAAGAAGUCUUUUAAAGGCACACCUUUGUAUUGUGUUAUUCAAGAUGCUGUGAUGAGGUGGAGCCCAAAUGCCACAGACUCAGAAAUAGAUGCAGCUAUGGCAGACCACCUCAAGCACGCUCCAGGAAGAGCUGGGGGUUGUGAAUACACUAAAUAAGCCAAACAGCUCUAAUGUGUAAAAGAGAGAGUUCACAAAAAAAUGAAAAUUGUUAUAAUUUUCUUACCCACAUGUUUCAAACAUGUAUACAUUUCUAUUUUCUGCUGAACACAAAGAUUGAAAAAUGUUUGUAACCAAGCUAACUGUCAAUAAUUUUUUUUUACAAUUGUAGUAAUGGGUUGUGAGAUCUGCUUUCUGCGUUCUAUUCUUUCAAAUAUCUUUGUGUUUUGCAAAACAUAGAAAAGUAUACAGGUUUGAAACAUAAGAGAGAGUAAAUUACUAAAUAAUCAUUUUUGGGUGAACUAUCCUUUUAUAUAGUAAAGUAUUUUGAAAUUGUUAUUAUAGUUAAACGGUUUAAAAAAAAUAAAAAGUGCUAAAUCAGAA
This is a non-coding RNA of Misgurnus anguillicaudatus (oriental weatherfish), 1971 nucleotides long. The record is from RefSeq and is a predicted model, not a curated record. Lineage: Eukaryota; Metazoa; Chordata; Actinopteri; Cypriniformes; Cobitidae.